Molecule: ribosomal RNA, 425 nt
Filed under: uncultured prokaryote
Description: bacterial SSU rRNA
Rfam family: Bacterial small subunit ribosomal RNA
Source: RNAcentral
UCGAGAAUCUUUGUCAAUGGGCGAAAGCCUGAACAAGCGAUGCCGCGUGCGGGAUGAAGGCCUUCGGGUUGUAAACCGCUGUCAGAGGGAAGGAAAUUUUGACCGAUCCUCAAAGGAAGCCCGGGCUAAGUUCGUGCCAGCAGCCGCGGUAAUACGAACCGGGCGAACGUUAUUCGGAAUUACUGGGCUUAAAGGGUGCGUAGGCGGCGCUGUAAGUCGGGUGUGAAAUCCCACGGCUCAACCGUGGAAUUGCGCCCGAUACUGCAGUGCUUGAGGAAGAUAGAGGUGAGCGGAACGAAUGGUGGAGCGGUGAAAUGCGUUGAUAUCAUUCGGAACACCCGUGGCGAAAGCGGCUCACUGGGUCUUUUCUGACGCUGAGGCACGAAAGCUAGGGGAGCGAACGGGAUUAGAUACCCCCGUAGUCC